This 74-nucleotide transfer RNA is filed under the name Bacteroidales bacterium. Its description in RNAcentral is "tRNA-Trp". It matches the Rfam family "tRNA". From Rfam's summary of the family: Transfer RNA (tRNA) molecules are approximately 80 nucleotides in length. Their secondary structure includes four short double-helical elements and three loops (D, anti-codon, and T loops). Lineage: Bacteria; Pseudomonadati; Bacteroidota; Bacteroidia; Bacteroidales. RNAcentral also lists the same sequence under 1 other name. The record is from RNAcentral.
AGGGGAAUAGUUUAAUGGUAGAAUGACGGUCUCCAAAACCGCAGAUGGGAGUUCGAUUCUCUCUUCCCCUGCCA